AGCCGAAGACCACACCCGGAUCGAGAGUCGGAUUGGUGAUCAGACGAACAUCGCCACCGCCGGGUGCCCAGGUGUCGUAUACGCCACCAAAGAACAUGGCCUUGAAGACCAGGAGCAAACAGCCAACGCCCAAGAGGAUUAGGUGAUAGCCAAUGAUGUUGGUCAUUUGAUUCUUGUCACGCCA
Molecule: antisense RNA, 184 nt
Filed under: marine metagenome
Description: Antisense RNA which regulates isiA expression
Rfam family: Antisense RNA which regulates isiA expression
Source: Rfam by way of RNAcentral